RNAcentral lists this long non-coding RNA (249 nucleotides) under Gossypium barbadense (sea-island cotton). Its description in RNAcentral is "long non-coding RNA (GBAR_LNC007239)". The record is from RNAcentral. Lineage: Eukaryota; Viridiplantae; Streptophyta; Magnoliopsida; Malvales; Malvaceae.
UGGGUAUUACCUGCACAGUUAGACAGAAAGGGUGAGUUUGCGAAAAAUCAAUGUGUAAUUUCCUAAAAAUACAAACAGUUAGAUAUACGGUAUGCAUAAACAGACUGGGCCUGAGCCCAUCACAGAAACAGUAUCAGGUGGGCCUUAGCCCAAUAAUAGAAUUAGGUGGGCCUAAGCCCAAUACAGAAUCAAUACCAGAUGCAGAUAUGUAGACAAAUAUCCAGCCCAGUCCAAUCAAUACACCACCCG